This 1002-nucleotide long non-coding RNA is filed under the name Malus domestica (apple). Its description in RNAcentral is "long non-coding RNA (MDOM_LNC020124)". Lineage: Eukaryota; Viridiplantae; Streptophyta; Magnoliopsida; Rosales; Rosaceae. The record is from RNAcentral.
UUUCAGGAAUUAAAACCCUAGGUUAUUUAGGUAAAUAGAAAUUAAGUCAAAAGCUUCUAGAAUUCGGGAAACAAAUUAGAAAUUUAAAGGAAAUAAGCUAAAAGGUGUAGCAUGGGAUUAAAACACAAAAGGAAUGCGUUUUAAUUAAGAAAAUAGGAAAGAAUCACUCUCCCUUGCACGGCAAGGAAGAGUAAAGGUCAGAAAUCCCUCACAAGGUGUGGCAUGGGUUUUAGGGAAGGUUAGAUGUCCUAAAACUGAAGGGGAAGUAGAUCCCUUGCACGAUAAGGAAGGUGGAAUAUGGGGUAAGUGCGGCAAAGGUCCCUAAGGGUUCUAGGGCCUUUGUUUUGUGUCCUCAAGUGCAUAUGAAGUCCUCAAAGUGGCUGGAACAUAAGUAUUUUUAGAAUUAGGAAAGGUCAAACCAAAAUAGGAAACCUUGGCUUAACUUUCCUACUUCAAGUAGGAAUCCUUGUUGGAGUAGGAAUCCUUGUUCUUCUAGGAAUCCUCAUGUGAUUAGGAAUCCAUCUUCAAUUAGGAAUCCUUCAUUGAUUAGGAAUCCUUCGUUGAUUAGGAAACCUAAUUUCUUCAAGUCUUCAAUUCAUCCAUUCCUUUUGCUCCAAAAGGCUCUAAAUUACAUCAUUUUGCACACUUGGCCUUAGAAUUUGAAAACACACAAAAGUGACUUUAAACACUAAAAUAACUAAAGAAACACAACGUAAAAGCACGAGAACAAGCCAAUUAAGUCGCAUAAAUAUGCUCCUAUCAGACGAUGUCAACCCUUUAGUCGACUCAUGAACAAAGACGCUCCAAUUCAUAUCAGAUGACGCCUGCCGCAAUGCCUUCGUGAGCAUAAAACAGUACCUGGCAAGCGCAACUGUCUUAAGAGCACCCGUGCCUGGAAAUUCGCUCAUCCUAUACAUUUGACACAUGAACAUUCCAUUGGAGCACUCUUGGCACAAGAAAAUGAAGACCAAAAGGAAAGGGCACUCUACUACCUAAGUAAAA